GGGGGUUACGCGGGGAAGUGAAACAUCUCAGUACCCGUAGGAAGAGAAAAUAAUAAUGAUUCUGCUAGUAGUGGCGAACGAACGUGGAUGAGGCUAAACCGUGUGCAUGUGAUACCUGGUAGGGGUUGUGUGUGCGGUGUUGUGGGCCCUGAUGAGGAUGGCUACUGACGUCCUGCCCGCGCAUUGUUGUUAGGUGAAGUGGUGUGGAAACGCCUGCCGUAGAAGGUGAUAGUCCUGUAGCUGAAGAUGAUGGUGUGUGGGUUGUUGGGUUGCCCGAGUAGCAGCGGGCUCGUGGAAUCUGCUGUGAAUCUGCCGGGACCACCCGGUAAGCCUAAAUACUCAGUGUGACCGAUAGUGGAUAGUACCGUGAGGGAAUGGUGAAAAGUACCCCGGGAGGGGAGUGAAAUAGUUCCUGAAACCAUGUGCUUACAAUCCGUCAGAGCACUUUUUGUGUGUGAUGGCGUGCCUUUUGAAGAAUGAGCCUGCGAGUCAGCGGCAUGUCGCGAGGUUAACCCGUGUGGGGUAGCCGUAGGGA
This 535-nucleotide ribosomal RNA is filed under the name Corynebacterium striatum. RNAcentral's name for it is "partial 23S ribosomal RNA". It matches the Rfam family "Bacterial large subunit ribosomal RNA", at positions 176 to 674 of the family's 2925-position model. The record is from RNAcentral. Lineage: Bacteria; Bacillati; Actinomycetota; Actinomycetes; Mycobacteriales; Corynebacteriaceae.